ACCUACGGGAGGCAGCAGUGGGGGAUAUUGCACAAUGGGGGAAACCCUGAUGCAGCGACGCCGCGUGAGUGAAGAAGUAUUUCGGUACGUAAAGCUCUAUCAGCAGGGAAGAAUAAUGACGGUACCUGACUAAGAAGCCCCGGCUAACUACGUGCCAGCAGCCGCGGUAAUACGUAGGGAGCGAGCGUUGUCCGGAAUUACUGGGUGUAAAGGGAGUGUAGGCGGGAUGGUAAGUUAGGUGUGAAAUGCGGAGGCUCAACCUCCGAGCUGCACUUAAAACUGCUGUUCUUGAGUGAAGU
RNAcentral lists this ribosomal RNA (299 nucleotides) under uncultured bacterium. RNAcentral describes it as "partial 16S ribosomal RNA". It matches the Rfam family "Bacterial small subunit ribosomal RNA", at positions 337 to 652 of the family's 1533-position model. The record is from RNAcentral.